Molecule: ribosomal RNA, 1556 nt
Filed under: Escherichia coli
Lineage: Bacteria; Pseudomonadati; Pseudomonadota; Gammaproteobacteria; Enterobacterales; Enterobacteriaceae
Description: bacterial SSU rRNA
Rfam family: Bacterial small subunit ribosomal RNA
Source: RNAcentral
UUAAAUUGAAGAGUUUGAUCAUGGCUCAGAUUGAACGCUGGCGGCAGGCCUAACACAUGCAAGUCGAACGGUAACAGGAAACAGCUUGCUGCUUCGCUGACGAGUGGCGGACGGGUGAGUAAUGUCUGGGAAACUGCCUGAUGGAGGGGGAUAACUACUGGAAACGGUAGCUAAUACCGCAUAACGUCGCAAGACCAAAGAGGGGGACCUUCGGGCCUCUUGCCAUCGGAUGUGCCCAGAUGGGAUUAGCUAGUAGGUGGGGUAACGGCUCACCUAGGCGACGAUCCCUAGCUGGUCUGAGAGGAUGACCAGCCACACUGGAACUGAGACACGGUCCAGACUCCUACGGGAGGCAGCAGUGGGGAAUAUUGCACAAUGGGCGCAAGCCUGAUGCAGCCAUGCCGCGUGUAUGAAGAAGGCCUUCGGGUUGUAAAGUACUUUCAGCGGGGAGGAAGGGAGUAAAGUUAAUACCUUUGCUCAUUGACGUUACCCGCAGAAGAAGCACCGGCUAACUCCGUGCCAGCAGCCGCGGUAAUACGGAGGGUGCAAGCGUUAAUCGGAAUUACUGGGCGUAAAGCGCACGCAGGCGGUUUGUUAAGUCAGAUGUGAAAUCCCCGGGCUCAACCUGGGAACUGCAUCUGAUACUGGCAAGCUUGAGUCUCGUAGAGGGGGGUAGAAUUCCAGGUGUAGCGGUGAAAUGCGUAGAGAUCUGGAGGAAUACCGGUGGCGAAGGCGGCCCCCUGGACGAAGACUGACGCUCAGGUGCGAAAGCGUGGGGAGCAAACAGGAUUAGAUACCCUGGUAGUCCACGCCGUAAACGAUGUCGACUUGGAGGUUGUGCCCUUGAGGCGUGGCUUCCGGAGCUAACGCGUUAAGUCGACCGCCUGGGGAGUACGGCCGCAAGGUUAAAACUCAAAUGAAUUGACGGGGGCCCGCACAAGCGGUGGAGCAUGUGGUUUAAUUCGAUGCAACGCGAAGAACCUUACCUGGUCUUGACAUCCACGGAAGUUUUCAGAGAUGAGAAUGUGCCUUCGGGAACCGUGAGACAGGUGCUGCAUGGCUGUCGUCAGCUCGUGUUGUGAAAUGUUGGGUUAAGUCCCGCAACGAGCGCAACCCUUAUCCUUUGUUGCCAGCGGUCCGGCCGGGAACUCAAAGGAGACUGCCAGUGAUAAACUGGAGGAAGGUGGGGAUGACGUCAAGUCAUCAUGGCCCUUACGACCAGGGCUACACACGUGCUACAAUGGCGCAUACAAAGAGAAGCGACCUCGCGAGAGCAAGCGGACCUCAUAAAGUGCGUCGUAGUCCGGAUUGGAGUCUGCAACUCGACUCCAUGAAGUCGGAAUCGCUAGUAAUCGUGGAUCAGAAUGCCACGGUGAAUACGUUCCCGGGCCUUGUACACACCGCCCGUCACACCAUGGGAGUGGGUUGCAAAAGAAGUAGGUAGCUUAACCUUCGGGAGGGCGCUUACCACUUUGUGAUUCAUGACUGGGGUGAAGUCGUAACAAGGUAACCGUAGGGGAACCUGCGGUUGGAUCACCUCCUUACCUUAAAGAAGC